UCGCUACUACCGAUUGAACAGUUUAGUGAGAUCUUCGGACUGGCGCGUCGUCGCUGGCAACAGAGUCUUUGUGCUGGGAAGUUGAUCAAACUUGAUUGUUUAGAGGAAGUAA
Molecule: ribosomal RNA, 112 nt
Filed under: uncultured eukaryote
Lineage: Eukaryota
Description: partial small subunit ribosomal RNA
Rfam family: Eukaryotic small subunit ribosomal RNA
Source: RNAcentral